GCGUAACCGUAAAAAUUGAUAAUCUAUUACAUAAUAUCCGCCCGGGCACUACAAGCACCAGCUUAAAACCCAAAGGACUUGGCGGUGCUUCAAACCCACCUAGAGGAGCCUGUUCUAGAACCGAUAACCCCCGUUAAACCUCACCCUCCCUUGUUUCAACCGCCUAUAUACCGCCGUCGUCAGCUUACCCUGUGAAGGAUCGAUAGUAAGCAAAGUUAGUAUAACUCAAAACGUCAGGUCGAGGUGUAGUAAAUGAGAGGGAAAGAAAUGGGCUACAUUCGUCUAUCGACGAACAACGAAAGAUUCAUUGAAAUAUAAAUCCGAAGGAGGAUUUAGCAGUAAGGAGAAAAUAGAGAGUUCUUCUGAAACUGGCCCUGAAGCGCG
This 384-nucleotide ribosomal RNA is filed under the name Bhanotia fasciolata. RNAcentral describes it as "partial 12S ribosomal RNA". It matches the Rfam family "Bacterial small subunit ribosomal RNA", at positions 794 to 1383 of the family's 1533-position model. The record is from RNAcentral. Lineage: Eukaryota; Metazoa; Chordata; Actinopteri; Syngnathiformes; Syngnathidae.